CGGUAGCUGGCUCCACCGGGCUCAACAGAGCCGAAUCCAGCCUUGCGAGUCCGUCCAGGACUUACAAAACACAUAGGG
This is a regulatory RNA element of Thauera sp. 27, 78 nucleotides long. It matches the Rfam family "DUF3085 RNA". NCBI's taxonomy places the organism in Bacteria, Pseudomonadati, Pseudomonadota, Betaproteobacteria, Rhodocyclales, Zoogloeaceae. The record is from Rfam.